AUGUGGUUGCCGGAGGUUCUGCCGGAGGGCUCUUACAAAAGGUCAUAUCAGCAGCUCAGCAAAAGCAAAGAGGUCGAGGCCUAUGCCCACGCCUCCUGUUGUCGUCAUGACCACAGGCGACUUCUACGUAGGUGGACAAAGCAAGACAACAUCAUUGGUGGCUUUCAGCUCCUUUUCCCUUCAAGUUUUUGUUUUUCUCCAAUAUCUUAG
This 210-nucleotide ribosomal RNA is filed under the name Triticum aestivum (bread wheat). RNAcentral's name for it is "partial small subunit ribosomal RNA". The record is from RNAcentral. Lineage: Eukaryota; Viridiplantae; Streptophyta; Magnoliopsida; Poales; Poaceae.